RNAcentral lists this ribosomal RNA (460 nucleotides) under uncultured bacterium. Its description in RNAcentral is "partial 16S ribosomal RNA". It matches the Rfam family "Bacterial small subunit ribosomal RNA", at positions 338 to 795 of the family's 1533-position model. The record is from RNAcentral.
CCUACGGGAGGCAGCAGUGAGGAAUAUUGGUCAAUGGACGAGAGUCUGAACCAGCCAAGUAGCGUGAAGGAUGACUGCCCUAUGGGUUGUAAACUUCUUUUAUAUGGGAAUAAAAUGUUCCACGUGUGGGAUUUUGUAUGUACCAUCUGAAUAAGGAUCGGCUAACUCCGUGCCAGCAGCCGCGGUAAUACGGAGGAUCCGAGCGUUAUCCGGAUUUAUUGGGUUUAAAGGGAGCGUAGGUGGAUUGUUAAGUCAGUUGUGAAAGUUUGCGGCUCAACCGUAAAAUUGCAGUUGAAACUGGCAGUCUUGAGGACAGUAGAGGUGGGCGGAAUUCGUGGUGUAGCGGUGAAAUGCUUAGAUAUCACGAAGAACUCCGAUUGCGAAGGCAGUUCACUGGACUGCAACUGACACUGAGGCUCGAAAGUGUGGGUAUCAAACAGGAGUAGAUACCCUAGUAGUC